Molecule: ribosomal RNA, 253 nt
Filed under: uncultured bacterium
Lineage: Bacteria
Description: partial 16S ribosomal RNA
Rfam family: Bacterial small subunit ribosomal RNA
Source: RNAcentral
GACAGAGGUGCCGAGCGUUAGGCGGAAUCACUGGGCUUAAAGCGUGUGUAGGCGGACCGUUAAGUACCUUGUGAAAUCCCACGGCUCACCCGUGGAACUGCUGGGCAUACUGGGCGUCUUGGGCCAACUAGGGGCAGCCGGAACAAGCGGUGGAGCGGUGAAAUGCGUAGAUAUCGCUUGGAACGCCGAAGGUGAAAACAGGCUGCUGGGGUUGCGCCGACGCUGAGACACGAAAGCCAGGGGAGCAAACGGG